CGGGGUGUAGCGCAGCCUGGUAGCGCGUCUGCUUUGGGAGCAGGAUGUCGGAGGUUCAAAUCCUCUCGCCCCGACCA
RNAcentral lists this transfer RNA (77 nucleotides) under Holosporaceae bacterium. RNAcentral describes it as "tRNA-Pro". It matches the Rfam family "tRNA". From Rfam's summary of the family: Transfer RNA (tRNA) molecules are approximately 80 nucleotides in length. The record is from RNAcentral. Lineage: Bacteria; Pseudomonadati; Pseudomonadota; Alphaproteobacteria; Holosporales; Holosporaceae.